RNAcentral lists this ribosomal RNA (937 nucleotides) under uncultured Enterobacteriaceae bacterium. Its description in RNAcentral is "bacterial SSU rRNA". It matches the Rfam family "Bacterial small subunit ribosomal RNA", at positions 1 to 882 of the family's 1533-position model. The record is from RNAcentral. Lineage: Bacteria; Pseudomonadati; Pseudomonadota; Gammaproteobacteria; Enterobacterales; Enterobacteriaceae.
UGGGNGCUCUCCCNUAUGGUCGACCUGCAGGCGGCCGCGAAUUCACUAGUGAUUAGAGUUUGAUCCUGGCUCAGAUUGAACGCUGGCGGCAGGCCUAACACAUGCAAGUCGAACGGUAACAGGAAGCAGCUUGCUGCUUUGCUGACGAGUGGCGGACGGGUGAGUAAUGUCUGGGAAACUGCCUGAUGGAGGGGGAUAACUACUGGAAACGGUAGCUAAUACCGCAUAACGUCGCAAGACCAAAGAGGGGGACCUUAGGGCCUCUUGCCAUCGGAUGUGCCCAGAUGGGAUUAGCUAGUAGGUGGGGUAACGGCUCACCUAGGCGACGAUCCCUAGCUGGUCUGAGAGGAUGACCAGCCACACUGGAACUGAGACACGGUCCAGACUCCUACGGGAGGCAGCAGUGGGGAAUAUUGCACAAUGGGCGCAAGCCUGAUGCAGCCAUGCCGCGUGUAUGAAGAAGGCCUUCGGGUUGUAAAGUACUUUCAGCGGGGAGGAAGGGAGUAAAGUUAAUACCUUUGCUCAUUGACGUUACCCGCAGAAGAAGCACCGGCUAACUCCGUGCCAGCAGCCGCGGUAAUACGGAGGGUGCAAGCGUUAAUCGGAAUUACUGGGCGUAAAGCGCACGCAGGCGGUUUGUUAAGUCAGAUGUGAAAUCCCCGGGCUCAACCUGGGAACUGCAUCUGAUACUGGCAAGCUUGAGUCUCGUAGAGGGGGGUAGAAUUCCAGGUGUAGCGGUGAAAUGCGUAGAGAUCUGGAGGAAUACCGGUGGCGAANGCGGCCCCCUGNNCGAAGACUGACGCUCANGUGCGAAAGCGUGGGAGCAAACAGGAUUAGAUACCCUGGUAGUCCACGCCGUANCGAUGUCNACNUGGANNUUGUGCCCUUGANGCGUNGNUUCCGGAGCUAACGCGUUAAGUCNACCGCCUGGGGNGUA